UCAGCUCUCUCUUUUCUUUCUUUCAUUUUCUUUCUUUUCUCUUUACUUAAACACACACACACACACACACUCACUUCCACACUCACCCGCCGGCCUCCACUCCAAACCACACCAUCUCACCAUCAUUUUUCCGGCAAGAUCACCGGAAAAAUACUUAGGAACCUCACAGCAUCUUCAUCAUUUUAUUUGAGGUUCUAGCUAAUCUCCUUGGAGCUUGGAGAAUUAGGAUUUUGCGAUUGCGAGGUCAGUGCCCUUUCACUUUGGAUGACGCGUUCUUCCCUGCUGUCCAUGGGGGAAAGAGGUUCCUUGAUUGUGUAUGGGUGAGGCUACUGUCCAUGGGGCCAAGAGACCACAUGCAACAGAGGUCCUAUUUGACGCGCUCUCUCUGCUGCCCAUGGGGGGAGAGAAAAACUUUGAAGGUAUAGGUGAGGUUGCUGUCCAUGGGGCCAAGAGUCUGCAUACUAGAGAGGACAAUAUCAUGCCAGUUGUGAAUGGGUGGAUCCCCUAACCGGUUUAUGUGGUAGUAUGGUAUAUUUAUGAUAAAUUACCGUAUGUUAGAUUUUAUGGCUUUGGAAAUUAUAUGGUUAGUGCUCACAGAUUAUAGUAUAUAGUUUCAAGGUAUUUACUUUGAGAAACUUUGUGUUUCAUUAUUAAAUCAUUCUUGUUAUAUUAUUAUUAUUAUUAUUAUUGAA
Quercus robur (English oak) is the source of this 692-nucleotide long non-coding RNA. RefSeq lists it as uncharacterized. The record is from RefSeq and is a predicted model, not a curated record. NCBI's taxonomy places the organism in Eukaryota, Viridiplantae, Streptophyta, Magnoliopsida, Fagales, Fagaceae. The transcript has 2 exons.